Molecule: ribosomal RNA, 253 nt
Filed under: uncultured bacterium
Lineage: Bacteria
Description: partial 16S ribosomal RNA
Rfam family: Bacterial small subunit ribosomal RNA
Source: RNAcentral
UACGUAGGGGGCAAGCGUUGUCCGGAUUUAUUGGGCGUAAAGAGCGUGUAGGCGGCCAAGCAGGUCCGCUGUGAAAACUCGAGGCUCAACCUCGAGACGUCGGUGGAAACCGUUUGGCUAGAGUCCGGAGGAGGAGAGUGGAAUUCCCGGUGUAGCGGUGAAAUGCGCAGAUAUCGGGAAGAACACCCGUGGCGAAGGCGGCUCUCUGGGACGGUACUGACGCUGAUGCGCGAAAGCGUGGGUAGCAAACAGG